UACGUAGGGUCCGAGCGUUGUCCGGAAUUAUUGGGCGUAAAGAGCUCGUAGGCGGUUUGUCGCGUCUGCUGUGAAAUCCCGAGGCUCAACCUCGGGCCUGCAGUGGGUACGGGCAGACUGGAGUGCGGUAGGGGAGAAUGGAAUUCCUGGUGUAGCGGUGGAAUGCGCAGAUAUCAGGAGGAACACCGAUGGCGAAGGCAGUUCUCUGGGCAUGUCCUGACGCUGAGGAGCGAAAGUGUGGGGAGCGAACAGG
RNAcentral lists this ribosomal RNA (253 nucleotides) under uncultured bacterium. RNAcentral's name for it is "partial 16S ribosomal RNA". It matches the Rfam family "Bacterial small subunit ribosomal RNA", at positions 524 to 776 of the family's 1533-position model. The record is from RNAcentral.